This 520-nucleotide ribosomal RNA is filed under the name uncultured Spartobacteria bacterium. RNAcentral describes it as "bacterial SSU rRNA". It matches the Rfam family "Bacterial small subunit ribosomal RNA", at positions 9 to 509 of the family's 1533-position model. The record is from RNAcentral. Lineage: Bacteria; Pseudomonadati; Verrucomicrobiota; Spartobacteria.
GAGUUUGAUCCUGGCUCAGAAUGAACGCUGGCGGCGUGGUUAAGACAUGCAAGUCGAACGGGGUUUGCGGUGUAGCAAUACAUUGCAAAACUCAGUGGCGAACGGGUGCGUAACACGUGAACAAUCUACCACUUAGUGUGGAAUAGCUCGCCGAAAGGCGAAUUAAUACCGCAUGUGGCUACUGGAGACACCUUCGGGACGCUAAAGGUGGCGCAAGCUACCGCUUUUUGAGGAGCCCGCGGCCUAUCAGCUUGUUGGUGAGGUAACGGCUCACCAAGGCGUUGACGGGUAGCUGGUCUGAGAGGACGACCAGCCACACUGGGACUGAGACACGGCCCAGACACCUACGGGUGGCAGCAGUCGAGAAUUUUUGACAAUGGGGGAAACCCUGAUCGAGCGACGCCGCGUGGAGGAUGAAGGUCUUCGGGUUGUAACUCCUGUCAUUUGGGAACAAGGCGUAUGUAUCAACUGUACGUGCGUUGAUAGUACCAGAAGAGGAAGAGACGGCUAACUCUGUGCC